This 66-nucleotide transfer RNA is filed under the name Kapaibacterium sp. (SeqCode). Its description in RNAcentral is "tRNA-OTHER". It matches the Rfam family "tRNA". Rfam says of the family: Transfer RNA (tRNA) molecules are approximately 80 nucleotides in length. Their secondary structure includes four short double-helical elements and three loops (D, anti-codon, and T loops). Further hydrogen bonds mediate the characteristic L-shaped molecular structure. tRNAs have two regions of fundamental functional importance: the anti-codon, which is responsible for specific mRNA codon recognition, and the 3' end, to which the tRNAs corresponding amino acid is attached (by aminoacyl-tRNA synthetases). tRNAs cope with the degeneracy of the genetic code in two manners: having more than one tRNA (with a specific anti-codon) for a particular amino acid; and 'wobble' base-pairing, i.e. permitting non-standard base-pairing at the 3rd anti-codon position. The record is from RNAcentral. Lineage: Bacteria; Pseudomonadati; Bacteroidota; Eximiradiia; Eximiradiales; Kapaibacteriaceae (SeqCode).
CGGUGUGUAGCGAAAUGGCAGACGCGCUUGGCAAAGAGGUUACGGGUUCGAGUCCUGUCACACCGA